This 1915-nucleotide long non-coding RNA is filed under the name Macaca fascicularis (crab-eating macaque). RNAcentral describes it as "lncRNA (ENSMFAG00000059661.1)". The record is from RNAcentral. Lineage: Eukaryota; Metazoa; Chordata; Mammalia; Primates; Cercopithecidae.
AAAAAAAAAAUAUAUAUAUAUAUGUGUGUGUGUGUGGGUGUGUGUUAAGGUUAUAUGGAAUACUCGGCUUUCCUUUUUUUGUGAGAUGGGGAUCUCACACUGUGGCUCAGGCUGGAGUGCAGUGGCGUGAUCAUGGCUCGCUGCAGCCUCGAAGCCCUGGGGUCAAGUGAUCCUCUCACCUCAGCCUCCCAAGUAGCUGGAACCACAGGCACGCAACCAUCACUCCUGGCUAAUUUUAUUUUUUUAGUAAAAUAAGGUCUCACUAUGUUGCACAGGUUGGUCUCUAACUCCUUACCUCAAGCCAUCCUCCUACCUUGGACUCCCAAACGUGUUGGGAUUACAGGUGUGAGCCACUGGACCUGGCCAAAUACUGGGUUUUCAGUGCUCAGUGCCACUAAUAAAAAUCUGAAAUUCUUUCAUUAUGCAAUUUCUAAGUGCCUGGUGAGGGCCAAGCUCAGUUCUAGGCUCUGAAGAUUAAGAGGGAAACAAAGCUCUGCCUGCUCCUGUUGUCUCUGUGAGCAUCUUUGACAGAGUGCUCAGAUUGUUGGGAUACAGUGCAUCGGACUGGCAGCCUGAAUUCGUGGAGACUGCAGUCAGUAACUUUGUGAUAUAUGUAGUAUUUAGAGGACAAUGACCCAUUUCCCUACCUGCUGCCUGAUCACAUCACACCCUGCUGGGCCAUACUCCAAACAGCCCACCUUCCUCUAGGCCUGGCCAUGGCCCUGUGCUUGCCACAUUGAGGAUUAAGUCAGGAUAUCUUGAGCUUUCUCAAAUCCCUGUUUAUUCAGGCCUCUGACACAUAUAGAGCCAGCCUUCUCUCCCCACCACUUCCACUACCAUGGAGCCCACUUAGUAAAACCCUCUCUGGGCCCAGCUUCACCAGAAAAGACACCAGGGGAGCAAGGCUCAAACCAGGGGCAGCUAAAUCUGAUCUUGUGGACCAGUCUUUAGUAAGGGCUUUCAGCUUGGCUGUCUGUCCAUUGCUUUCCAAAUAGGAUGCAGCAAUGAUUGGUACAUGGAUAUUAAGAUCGGUAGUAGGGGCUAGUCCAAGUUUAGCAAUAGCCAAACUGGAGAGCCUCUGAAGUAUGAGAGUCCCAGAGGGAUUUGUCAGCUCCUGGCAGACAUCCUGAGUUUCACCUUCCUGAGUCUACCCUCCCGCAAAGGGUGCCAGUCUCACUGUGGUGAUGGUUAGCCCAGUGUGCGCUGCACUCACACUGCAGCACAGGAUCGGUGCUUGCAGGCUGGUGGAUGCUGUCCUCUGGGUUAAGACUGUAUCCCUUCUGGGGAGCACUGGAGGCUUCUCCCAUCUGCAGUGUUUCAGCAGAAGUUGGCAGAUAUGAAAACAGGCCCCCUGUAGGGAAGUAGUUCCAUGAAAAUGAUUAAUUCUUUCCAAAAGACUUAAAAUUCUUUCCUAUUUCAGUUUUUCCUUUCAAAAAAGGAAAUACAUUCAUGUAAUUCAAAACUUAACAAGUCUGUUCAGCAGAAGACUCCCGCUCUGUGUCCCCAAACACUGAGCCCCAUCCCCCAUCCCUGGUAGCAAGAAGUGUUUCCAAUUUAAAGGUUAAGAAGCAAAGUCCCUGGAUUUGUAUUAGGGAUGUCUUCCUGAGAAUGUGAGUUGUGUUCCAUUUGACCCUGGCAGUUGACCUCGGCCCACUAGGAUCAUGCCGCCCUCUCCAGGGAGGAGGGUCUCCCCAUCACCCCGUACAGUGGCACCCUGACCCUGGCACUGCCCUUCCUUGCUCAGCAUACCUUUCCCGUGGCACUCACGUGAUGGGUAUUUGGUUUCUGAAGUUACUGGUUGUUUACCCUGCCCGGAUGUAAGCCCCUCCAGGGCAGGGGCUUGUCUCGUGUUCAGCGCUGCAUCCCAGCUGCUGGGCACAGUGCCUGGUCCAUGGCGUUCAAUAAAUAACUGUUA